Molecule: transfer RNA, 90 nt
Filed under: Termitomyces sp. T159_Od127
Lineage: Eukaryota; Fungi; Basidiomycota; Agaricomycetes; Agaricales; Lyophyllaceae
Description: tRNA-Leu
Rfam family: tRNA
About the family: Transfer RNA (tRNA) molecules are approximately 80 nucleotides in length. Their secondary structure includes four short double-helical elements and three loops (D, anti-codon, and T loops).
Source: RNAcentral
GGCGACAUGGCCGAGCGGUCUAAGGCGCUAGAAUCAGGUCCUUUCCUUAUCUAGUCUUUCGGGGCGUGAGUUCGAAUCUCACUGUCGUCA